AUCGUUCAUCUCUCUAGCUCGAAAGACUAGCUCGAAAGAUUGGAUCCUGGUUGAGCCUAGAGGGACGGAAGUAGGGGUUGAUCCCCCCGAAGGAACGCGCC
RNAcentral lists this non-coding RNA (101 nucleotides) under Halomicronema hongdechloris. RNAcentral describes it as "Glutamine-I sequence". It matches the Rfam family "Glutamine riboswitch aptamer (glnA leader)". RNAcentral also lists the same sequence under 1 other name. The record is from RNAcentral. Lineage: Bacteria; Bacillati; Cyanobacteriota; Cyanophyceae; Nodosilineales; Nodosilineaceae.